GACGAACGCUGGCGGCGUGCUUAACACAUGCAAGUCGAACGGAAAGGCCCUGCUUGCAGGGUACUCGAGUGGCGAACGGGUGAGUAACACGUGGGUGAUCUGCCCUGCACUUCGGGAUAAGCCUGGGAAACUGGGUCUAAUACCGGAUAGGAGCCAUUUUUAGUGUGAUGGUUGGAAAGUUUUUUCGGUGUAGGAUGAGCUCGCGGCCUAUCAGCUUGUUGGUGGGGUAAUGGCCUACCAAGGCGGCGACGGGUAGCCGGCCUGAGAGGGUGGACGGCCACAUUGGGACUGAGAUAUGGCCCAGACUCCUACGGGAGGCAGCAGUGGGGAAUAUUGCACAAUGGGCGCAAGCCUGAUGCAGCGACGCCGCGUGGGGGAUGACGGCCUUCGGGUUGUAAACUCCUUUCGCUAGGGACGAAGCUUUUUGUGACGGUACCUAGAUAAGAAGCACCGGCUAACUACGUG
This 465-nucleotide ribosomal RNA is filed under the name uncultured bacterium. RNAcentral's name for it is "partial 16S ribosomal RNA". It matches the Rfam family "Bacterial small subunit ribosomal RNA", at positions 28 to 507 of the family's 1533-position model. The record is from RNAcentral.